UGAACGCUGGCGGCAGGCCUAACACAUGCAAGUCGAACGGUAACAGGAAGCAGCUUGCUGCUUCGCUGACGAGUGGCGGACGGGUGAGUAAUGUCUGGGAAACUGCCUGAUGGAGGGGGAUAACUACUGGAAACGGUAGCUAAUACCGCAUAACGUCGCAAGACCAAAGAGGGGGACCUUCGGGCCUCUUGCCAUCGGAUGUGCCCAGAUGGGAUUAGCUAGUAGGUGGGGUAACGGCUCACCUAGGCGACGAUCCCUAGCUGGUCUGAGAGGAUGACCAGCCACACUGGAACUGAGACACGGUCCAGACUCCUACGGGAGGCAGCAGUGGGGAAUAUUGCACAAUGGGCGCAAGCCUGAUGCAGCCAUGCCGCGUGUAUGAAGAAGGCCUUCGGGUUGUAAAGUACUUUCAGCGGGGAGGAAGGCGAUAAGGUUAAUAACCUUGUCGAUUGACGUUACCCGCAGAAGAAGCACCGUC
This 478-nucleotide ribosomal RNA is filed under the name Enterobacter hormaechei. RNAcentral describes it as "bacterial SSU rRNA". It matches the Rfam family "Bacterial small subunit ribosomal RNA", at positions 30 to 497 of the family's 1533-position model. The record is from RNAcentral. Lineage: Bacteria; Pseudomonadati; Pseudomonadota; Gammaproteobacteria; Enterobacterales; Enterobacteriaceae.